Molecule: unclassified non-coding RNA, 334 nt
Filed under: soil metagenome
Description: partial contains 5.8S ribosomal RNA, internal transcribed spacer 2, and large subunit ribosomal RNA
Rfam family: 5.8S ribosomal RNA (bases 1-120)
Source: RNAcentral
GAUGAAGAACGUAGCGAAAUGCGAUACGUAAUGUGAAUUGCAGAAUUCAGUGAAUCAUCGAAUCUUUGAACGCACAUUGCGCCCGCCAGCACUCUGGCGAGCAUGCCUGUUCGAGCGUCAUUUCAACCAUCAAGCCCCAGGCUUGUGUUGGAGCCCUGCGGCUGCCGCAGCCUCCCAAAACCAGUGGCGGGCUCGCUAUCACACCGAGUGCAGUAGUUUACUCUUCGCUCAGGGCGUGUGGCGGGUGCUAGCCGUGAAACCCCCAACUUCUCAAGGUUGACCUCGGAUCAGGUAGGAAUACCCGCUGAACUUAAGCAUAUCAAUAAGCGGAGGA